UGAAAAGGACACUAAUGAAAGUCUAUUAGAUGAUUUAAUCGAUAUUGUAAGAAAAUUUAACAGCUCCUUGGAAAACAAGAUAUAUAUAUAUAUAAGAGAGAGAGAGAGAGAGAGAGAGAGAGAGAGAGAAAGCAAUAUGAAAAGGACACUAACGAAAGUCUAUUAGAUGAUUUAAUCGAUAUUGGAAGAAAAUUUAACAGCUC
This 203-nucleotide long non-coding RNA is filed under the name Lathyrus oleraceus (garden pea). RNAcentral describes it as "Pisum sativum (pea) long non-coding RNA (PSAT_LNC041679)". Lineage: Eukaryota; Viridiplantae; Streptophyta; Magnoliopsida; Fabales; Fabaceae. The record is from RNAcentral.